RNAcentral lists this small nuclear RNA (22 nucleotides) under Arabidopsis thaliana (thale cress). RNAcentral's name for it is "snRNA_17306". Lineage: Eukaryota; Viridiplantae; Streptophyta; Magnoliopsida; Brassicales; Brassicaceae. The record is from RNAcentral.
ACCCUAGAAGAUGGUGUAUAGG